This 400-nucleotide ribosomal RNA is filed under the name uncultured bacterium. RNAcentral describes it as "bacterial SSU rRNA". It matches the Rfam family "Bacterial small subunit ribosomal RNA", at positions 356 to 773 of the family's 1533-position model. The record is from RNAcentral.
CGGGAAUUUUGGGCAAUGGGCGCAAGCCUGACCCAGCAACGCCGCGUGGGUGACGAAGGCCUUCGGGUUGUAAAGCCCUUUUGGAAGGGAAGAUGAUGACGGUACCUUUCGAAGAAGCACCGGCUAACUACGUGCCAGCAGCCGCGGUAAUACGUAGGGUGCGAGCGUUGCCCGGAUUUAUUGGGCGUAAAGGGCGCGUAGGCGGCUCGACACGUCCGUUGUGAAAUCGCCCGGCUCAACUGGGCGGGGUCAGCGGAUACGGUCGAGCUUGAGCAAGCUAGGGGGCAAUGGAAUUCCCGGUGUAGUGGUGGAAUGCGUAGAUAUCGGGAGGAACACCAGUGGCGAAGGCGGUUGCCUGGGGCUUUGCUGACGCUGAUGCGCGAAAGCGUGGGGAGCGAUC